Molecule: RNA transcript, 1632 nt
Organism: Brachypodium distachyon (stiff brome)
Lineage: Eukaryota; Viridiplantae; Streptophyta; Magnoliopsida; Poales; Poaceae
Gene name: mitochondrial uncoupling protein 3
Exons: 4
Source: RefSeq, a predicted model, not a curated record
GCGAUGGUCUCCGCCGUGGCCGUGAAACACCCGCCGGGAGCCGUCCACUGAGCUAACCGUGAAGCUCCACCGCCGCGGUGAUCGCCGUGGAGGUUGCGCGAUUUGGCGGCGGAACCACCCGGUACGCACAAUCGAAUUCUGCAGCCGUUGGAUCAUCCUUGGUCGGCCCACAUUUACACAGGGUAGGGUGUAUACUCAACCGAUACGCCGCUAGCAAGGUCUCCGCCCGCCCUUGUGAGCCAUGUCCCCCCGCGCCGCGGCCGCCGGCGAAGGCGGCCGCCGCGAGGCCCUAGCCAAGGUAUCCCUUUCGUCAGUCUCCGCCGCCACGGCGGAGGUCGCGACCUUCCCCAUCGACGCCCUCAAGACGCGCCUCCAGCUCCACCGCGGCCCCGCUGGCGGCGGCGUCUUACGCGUUGCCGGCGAGCUCGUCCGCGACGGGGGGCACUACCGGGGUCUCUCCCCCGCUAUCCUCCGGCACCUCUUUUAUACCCCGCUCCGCAUCGUUGGCUACGAGCACCUCCGGUCCUCGCUCGCCAGCGGCGGCCGGGAGGUGGGCCUUCUCGAGAAGGCGAUCGCCGGGGGAGUCUCCGGCGUUGCCGCGCAGGUGCUGGCAAGCCCUGCUGAUCUCAUAAAGAUAAGGAUGCAGGCCGAUAGCAGAUUGUUGAGCCAAGGCAUUCAGCCACGUUAUACAGGAGUCUUAGAUGCCUUCACGAAAAUCAUACGCGCCGAAGGCUUUUUAGGACUUUGGAAGGGGGUUGCUCCUAAUGCCCAGCGAGCAUUUCUUGUCAACAUGGGUGAAUUGACCUGCUAUGACCAGGCAAAGCAUUUCAUCAUUCGCGAGCAGAUUUGUGAUGAUAAUUUGUAUGCUCAUACAUUGGCCUCUGUUGCCUCUGGCCUGUCUGCAACUACAUUGAGCUGCCCAGCAGAUGUGAUCAAAACUAGGAUGAUGAACCAGGGCCAGGAGGCGAAAGCUCUAUACAGGAAUUCAUAUGAUUGUUUGGUCAAGACUGUCAAACAUGAGGGUGCGACAGCACUGUGGAAGGGUUUCUUACCUACAUGGGCGAGGCUUGGUCCAUGGCAAUUUGUGUUCUGGGUUUCCUAUGAAAAACUGCGACAAGCAUCAGGGGAUUUCACAAUUGAGACCGGAUCAUACUUGACUUCGAUAAAUUUGAGGCCCUGAGGAGUGGUUGCGGGUGUUUGCGUGUAUGUGCGGGGAGGGUGUAGACUGUAGAGUAGGAAGAAGGUUUCCCCAAUUUUGCACAAAGCCUACAGAACGACAUGUCAAUGCUUCGAUCGUGCCAAAAGGAGAACCUUUUCUUCAGGAGAUCUCUUUCUUCAGAACCAUGCUUAUCGUAAACAUUUUCCAAAGUCCAUGGGCUGGACAUGCACACUUACGGGUUUGACAAUUUGGUCAUCCAAUCCAAGCAGAAAAUAGCGAAGCUCACACGGAAAGUACCUCCAUAGCUUGUUUGGUUGGGGGGAAUUAGGGAAAGGGAAAGGAAAUUGAAGGGGUAUGUGAUGUUAAAUCAUCUGUUUGGUUAGAGGGAAUGUGAGUAUAUGAGAGAUUGGCAUUGGAGUUGAGAGACCAGCUCCACUAUUUUUUUUUGAGAAAAAAAUAUAUUUCAUUACUUA